AUAUAUUCUUAAACACAUACACAUAUAAUAUAUAUAUAUAUAUAUAUAUAUAUAUAGUAUGUAUGUGUAUGUGUGUAUGUGUGUAU
Molecule: non-coding RNA, 86 nt
Organism: Podarcis lilfordi (Lilford's wall lizard)
Lineage: Eukaryota; Metazoa; Chordata; Lepidosauria; Squamata; Lacertidae
Source: the annotation of a GenBank genome assembly